Molecule: ribosomal RNA, 549 nt
Filed under: Gramma loreto (royal gramma)
Lineage: Eukaryota; Metazoa; Chordata; Actinopteri; Grammatidae
Description: partial 16S large subunit ribosomal RNA
Rfam family: Bacterial large subunit ribosomal RNA
Source: RNAcentral
UAAGAGGUCCUGCCUGCCCAGUGACCAUGUGUUAAACGGCCGCGGUAUCCUAACCGUGCAAAGGUAGCGUAAUCACUUGUCUUUUAAAUGGAGACCCGUAUGAAUGGCAAAACGAGGGCCUAACUGUCUCCUUUUUCCAGUCAAUGAAAUUGAUUUCCCCGUGCAGAAGCGGGGAUACAACCAUAAGACGAGAAGACCCUGUGGAGCUUCAGACACCAGAGCAGGCCGAGUCAAUAAAACUCCAUUAAAAGAACUAAACUUAUCGACCCCCUUCUCCCCGUCUUAGGUUGGGGCGACCACGGGGAAACAAAAAACCCCCAUGUGGAAAGAGAACACCCUUAUGUUCCCACAAAUAAGAACCGCAGCUCUAAUUAACAGAAACUUCUGACCAAUUAAGAUCCGGCAACGCCGAUUAACGAACCAAGUUACCCCAGGGAUAACAGCGCAAUCCCCUCCAAGAGCCCAUAUCGACAAGGGGGUUUACGACCUCGAUGUUGGAUCGGGACAUCCUAAUGGUGCAGAAGCUAUUAAGGGUUCGUUUGUUCAACG